Acinonyx jubatus (cheetah) is the source of this 16225-nucleotide long non-coding RNA. RefSeq lists it as uncharacterized. The record is from RefSeq and is a predicted model, not a curated record. The transcript is spliced from 5 exons. Lineage: Eukaryota; Metazoa; Chordata; Mammalia; Carnivora; Felidae.
GCUCCAGGCUCUGAGCUGUCAGCGCAGAGCCUGAUGCGGGGCUUGAACUCAUGAACCAUGAAAUCAAGACCUGAGCUGAAAUGGAAUGCUCAACCAAAUGAGCCACCCAGCUGCCCCAAGAGAGAAUCUUAAAUAGGGGUGCCUGAGUCAGUCCUGGAAAUGAAACAUAUACCUCAAUAAUAAUGUAAAUAUUGAACUUAUGAUUAGAUAAGUGUCCCUUAUAUACUGGGGGUCCCUGGUGCCUCAUCACAGGGAUAAGAACCCCUUCCUAUCUUCUCACAGGGAAAGAUUCCCUGGUGUAGCAAGUGAGUACAGGCUUGGAAAUCAAAGGGUCUGACAGUAAACCCUUGUUAACACUAAUUCAAGGACAAGACUUGGGAAAGUGUCAUAAUCUGAUUCAGUCUCUCUCUUUGUCUCUCUCUCUCUUUUCUUCCCAGUGACAUAGGAGAAAAUACCAUCUACCCACCUGGUUGCUAGGAUUGUUAAACAAUGUAAUGUAUCCGCAAAUAAACAUGUUAUUUUUUUCAUCUUAACUAAAACCUUUCUCUACUCCAUUUUCAUGUCUACAACUUUCUUCUUUCUCUGUUCCCCUUUAGAGCAAUGCCCUUUGAAAGAGAUUGCUAUAGUUAGAAUACUCUAUUACUCUCCUUUAAAAAAAAAAAAACAAAAAAACUCACUGCACUAAACCUUGGACCCCUCCACAGAAACCACUCUUGUCAUAUCUGCAGUGAUAUCCACAUUGCUAAAUCCAAAAGUCAAUGCUCAAUCUUGCCACAGUUGAUUUCUUUUUCUCAUGGAAAUGCUUUUAUUUAUGUAGCUGUCAUGACACCAAGUUCUCAUGACUUGUUUCUAUUGUUACAGGCUGCUUCUUAGUAUCUUGUGAUGUUCCUUCUCAUCUCCCCAAUUUCUUAAUUUUAGAGUGCCUCCAAGCUCACCUUUUGGCACUCUUGCUCCAUCCACCUAAGCUCUUCAUGACCACACCUAAUGACAUGGUUUUAAAUAGUUUAUAUGCUGAUGAUUGCCAAGUGCUUCCUUUCUAGUCUGUACUCCUUCCUGAACUCUGUGGACUUAUAUAUUCAACUGCCCUCUGGACAUCUCUAGUUGGGUAUUUAAUAUAAAUUUUAAAAUCAACUAGGCCAAAAUGGCCCCCAUGAUGCUUCAUUUAUCCAGAGUAUUCCCCAUCUCAAUUCAUGACCACAGCAUCCAUCCAGCCCUUUACACCCCAAACCUUGAAGUCAUCAUUGAUACUUCUAAUGAAUUGGAAAUCCUUUCAGUUCCCACUUUAAAAAUGGUCGGGGCACCUGGGUGGCUCUGUUGGUUAAGCAUCCAACUUUGGGUCAGGUCAAGAUCUCACUGCUCUGUGAGUUUGAGCCCCACGUCAGGCUCUGUGCUGACAGCUCAGAGUCUGGAGCCUCCUUUGGAUUCUGUGUCUUCCUCUCUCUCAACCCUUCCCCCACUCACACUCUGUCUCUCUCCCUCUCUCAAAAAUAAUAAAACAAACAUUUUUUAAAAAUAUACAAAAUAGACAUAUCCUCACUUCUGCUGCUAUCACUCUAGUCCAAGCCACCAUUUUUCUCUCCUGGAUUAUUGCUAUAUCCUCCUGAGUGGUCUCUGUUCCUACUCAUGCCCUCCUAUGUUUCCUUCAAUCCGGAAAUACAGUCAUAUUUUUGAAACUAUAUAAGUCACAUCAUGUUUUUGAUCUGCUGUGAUCCCUUCCAUGACUCCCCUAUCACUCAAAGUAAAAAGCAAAAUUCUUAAAAUGAUCCUCAAAUCCCACCUAAAUCUAGUCUGACAGUAAUUUUUAAACCUUCUUUGAAAAUAUUCAUCCCUUUCCUUAUUUAUCUCCAGCUACUGGCUUCUUUGCAGUUUAGAGAAUAUCUUUAGCAUGUUGCUACAUAAGACCUCUGUAAUCUUGGUUUCAUUUCCUAGAAUAAUUUUUCUUUAGGUAUCAGCAUAGCUUGCUCCUUUUUCUCCUUUACAUCUUUGUUCCCUGACCUCAUUCUUUAAAAUGCAAAUCUCAGCACUUCUUAUCUCUUUCCUCUACUUGAUUUAUUUUGGUUGCAUUCAUCACCAUGUUAUACACUGCAUCAUUACUUCCCCAAGGAGAAUGAGAAUAUGAGCUCCAUCAGGAUAAGGAUCCUGGUCUGUUGUGUUCACUGCUAUAUCCCCAGAACAAUGUCUGUUGUAUAAGGGAUCAAUAAAUGUUUAUUCAUGGAAUGAAUUAAUGAAUAAGAAAGCACUUUGUGAAAUAUAAAGCACAAUAAAAACAAAGCUUAUCAUAUUUUUCCUAGUAUUACAGGAAACACCAUUAAAAUGACUAAGCAUCCAUCUGAGUUGAACAAUCAGCUCUGGAACUUAUAAACAUUGCUUUGGAGAGUACACAGGUAUCAGAGACAUAACUACCCUAUCUGCUACAUACACAUUCAAUUGUUAUAUACAAUAUGCAUAUUAUUUAUCUUAUGUACUAUGUUUACACUCAGUUGUUAACAGUCUGCCCUGCUUUUAGGUUAUAAGCAUUUUGAGAGUGAAGACCAUAAAAAAUAGGCCAGGUCAAUGUCAUAUGACAAUGCGGGUAGGUGUUUAUUUGUCUCUUGUGUCCCACUGAGUAGAAAUAUAUUAACAGAAAACAUUAUGAACUGAAAACAAUAAUUAGAAGAAUUAAAUUAAAGCUUACAGCAGCCUUAGAUGAAGAUACAGGUGAGUUUCCUGCAAAGCCUAUGUUAUGCUGCUUACUUUAUGAAAAUGAAAACUAACCAUCCUUGACAAGAAACAGCACUGGUAAUGACAGAGACUUUGUGUAGUGAUAGUACUCUGAGUGAUAAUGGCAGUACCCAGCAGCCAAAUCCAUAUUUGUAUUGACUGAUUCUUAUCCACUGUUACAUGACUCUACGCUUUUUUCAGGCAUUAUGUACUGAAUCUUAAAUACCUUGGAUGAGUCAAGAGGUAAGUUUUGAGCAACAGGCUUCCUCUUAUAUCCUAUAUUUACAUUGGAAAGCUAGAACAGAAAACUUUCUUGGCCGAAGAUGAGCUAUCACACAAUAUUCUGAAAUACAGGGUGAUAAAAUAACUGUUUUAAGAAUGUGGCAAGAAAAAUAGAUGCACACUAUUUUUUUCUGUACCAUUGUAAUGACAGCAACCUUAACAGUGACUUUGUAUUGGAUGCCUUUCAUAAACCACUUAGGCUGUACAUGAGAAAAAAGAAGGGGGGCAGAAAUUAAACAUGGUGACAUCCCCUCUCUCCAUCUCAACAUUGGUGUCUCAGUUCUGGACUCAUAUUUCCAAGGGUAGUGUCACUGUCUCCUCAUUGUUUUCCCUGAUUCUGGGUGCAAUCAAUUCUUCCCAUCCUCCAUGAUGCCAUGACAGAUAUUUUCCUAAAACAUGAAACUGGGUUCGUUUUCCUCUGCUUUAAGUCUUUAAACAUCUCUACAUAUACAGCAGCAUUUAUUGAAAGGGUCAUAUGGUUCUUAUCCUUUGUUUUAUUGUUGUGUUGUAUCACAUUGAUUGAUCUGCAAAUAUUGAACCACCCUUGCAGUCCAGGAGUAAAUCCUACUCGAUCGUGGUGAAUGAUUCUUUUAAUAGACUGCUGGAUUCGAUUAGCUAGUAUUUUAUUGAGAAGUUUUACAUCCAUGUUCAUCAGGGGUAUUGACCUGUAGUUCUCUUUUUUAGUGGAGUCUUUGGUAUUGGUGUCAGGUGAUGCUGGCCUUGUAGAAUGAACUUGGAAGUUUUCCUUUGAUUUCUGUUUUUUUGGAACAGUUUGACAAGAAUAGGUAUUAACUCUUCUUUAAAUGUUUGGUAGAAUUUUCCUGUGAAGUCAUCUGAUUUUGGUCUUUUGUUUGCUAGGAGUUUCUUGAUUACUGAUUCAUUUUCCCCACUGGUUAUCAGUCUAUUCAAGUUCUCUAUUUCUUCUUGUUUCAGUUUUGGUAGUUUAUAUGUUUCUAGGAAUCUACACAUUUCUUGUAGGUUGACCAAUUUGUUGGCAUAUAGUUUUUCAUGAUAUUUUCUUGUAAUUAUUUGUCUCUUUCUGCUGUUGAUUCAUAUAUGGUCAGUAUAAGGCUUCUAGAAGCCUACCUCUCCAUCUGAAGGUAUGGAUAUGGUCAGUAUAAGGCUUCUAGAAGCUUACCUCUCCAUCUGAAGGUAAGGAGGAGGAGGACCUUAUUUACCUAGAUGCUAGGAAGAUAUUUUAUAUGCCUGUUUACUCUUCACAAAAUCCCUAUAAAUUAUUCAUCUCUUUUUCUAACAAAUGAGGCUCAGAUAAGUUAUUUAGUAUGUUCAAAAUCACUCAGCUACUUAGUGGUGGGUCAGAGCUGUGAGCUUGUUUGACUUCAAAGUUCAUGUUCUUCCCUCUAUGAUCAUACCUUACAGCUGAGCCUAGAUGAAUCUGCUUGGAGGUCCCUAGCUGCUUCUUGAGAUUUAUAUGCCCCUAUGACUUAAUGCAGUUUGCUCUCACUGUCUGAAGUGCUGUCUCCCCUUGAUCACUUGAAAGUCAUUAUUCAUCCCUCAAACAGCUAACACACUGCUUUUUCUCUGAAGCCCUCCCCGCUAUCUUUCCUGCCUAGAGGCGUUUAGGUAAUAAACUCCCUCUACAGCCUUCAGUGGAUCGUAUAUAUAACUCUAUUGCAACAUCUUAAAUUAUCACAUUAAUGAUUAAAGUUUGUAUAUCUGACCCGAUUUUUUGAACUAUAAUUUCACUUAGGGCAAGUAUCAUGAAUUGUUCUUUAUACAUUUUAUGCACUCUAUAAAAGUAAUUUUAAGUAAUCUAAGACAUUAUAAUUAAAGGUUAAGAAACAUACUUUAGAAACAGUUACACUUUGUAUGUUUUGUGCAUUGCACCACCUGCUGUUGAGAGAUAUUUAUCUCUACUUCGUCAUGGAAACCCCUCUGUCAUUUUUUGUUUGUUUGUUUGUUUGUUUGUUUGUAUUUUAACCAACUCACUUGGCAUCUCACAAUUGAAUUCUUUGAGGAUCCAUUUUCCUGCUGUUCUAUGCUAACCAGUAUUUCCCUUAUAUUGUUCCGUGUGGCUACUUUUUGCUUAUGGGGCUAAUGACAGGCCUGAGAUUUGUUGGUCAUUCUGUGGUGCUAAGGCUCGCUGUUAAGGCUGGGUUCACAAGAGAAUAAGGGAUGGUGCUAUUUCAGUUAACACAGGAAUUUCUAUAAAAAUGGGGAGAAUAAGUAACCAUUACUGAAGGUUUCCUGUUGUUCAUGUGAAUGACAUCUUUGAGAUGGUCAAAACAGAAAUGUUUAAUGUCCCUGGUUGGUUAUAUUCUGUUAUCUGUUGCUUGGCUGAAAGGAUGAUGAUUUUAGAAGGAACAUCCUGGUUCUGUUUUUUUCUAACCUCUUUGGCCUCUCUUGGUCUAGCUUACCCUAAAUCUAUAUAUAUCCAUUAUCUUUUUUUUUUUUUCAUAAAAAGGAAUCUUUAAUUUCCUAAUAUCUAGGCAAAAGAAAUGAACAGAUUCUCCUGCCCCUGUGAUGUAGAGCAAGAAGGAAUAGUGUUAUGAGAAAGACCACCCCCUAUGAAUAGUAAACUUAGAUUGUGAUCUUUUUUUUUAAGUUUUUAAUGUUUAUUUACUUUUGGGAGAGAGACAGAGACAGAGACAGAGAGACACAGAGCAUGAGCAGGGGAGGGGCAGAAAGAGAAGAAAACACAGAAUCCGAAGCAGCUCCAGGCUCUGAGCUGUCAGCCCUGAGCCUGAUGUGGGGCUUGAACCCACCACGAACCCGUGAGAUCAUGACCUGAGCCCAAGUCACAUGCUUAAGCCACCGAGGCAUCCUGGUGAUCUCUCUCUCUCUCUCUCUCUCUCUCUCUCUUUUUUUUUGUACCUCAUGUUUAAAAACUCACUCUAUAGCUGCUGAUAAAAGGAUAACAUAUUUAACGCAAAAAUGAAAUUUACAUUCUAAUUUCUGCUAUAUAAAAGGAAAAGAAACUAUUUAAGGAUCAUAUAGACAUAUUUGUAGUUUGGAGUAUAAUGCAUGCAUCUAAGAAAUAAUCUAUAAUAGUGUAUGAGUACUUGCUAUAAGCCUGACAUUAUGGCAGGUAUUUUAAUUACUAAAAUAAAUAUGAUUAAUUUCUUCCCUCAACAAUCUGGGUUGUGGCUGAUGAAACAGACAUAUACAUAGAUAAUUAUAACACAGUGUAGAGAGAAUUGAAGAACACUAUCAUGUUGUAAUGCAGAUCAACACUCCCAGAAUAAUUUAAAAAACAACUAACCCAGGGGCACCUGAGUGGCUCCGUGGGUUAAGCACCUGACUUUAGCUCAGGUCAUGAUUCAUGGUCCAUGAGUUCAAGCCCCGCAUCAGGCUUUGUGCUGACAGCUCAGAGGCUGAACCCUGCUUUGGAUUUUGUGUCUCCCUCGUUCUCUGUCUUCUCUCUCUCUCAAAAAUAAAUAAACUUUAAAAAAUUUAAAAAAAACCCAACUAACUCUAUUAUACUCCAACUUUAAACCCUUGCAUAUUUUUCUAUUGUAUAAUGGAUAAAAGUCAUCAUUAUGAGAUCUUCUGGGAUAUAGUUCCUGAAUAAUUUUCUAAAAUUUUUCUUUUUAAAAAGUUUUUAUUUACAUGCCAGUUAGUUAACAUAUACAUAGUUUCAGAUGUCCAAUAGAGUGAUUCAACACUUCCAUACAUCACCCAGUGCUCAUCACAAGUGCCCUCAAUACCCAUCAUCUAUUUAACCUAUCCCCCAAACACCUCUUUCUGGUAACCAUUAGUUUGUUCUCUAUAGUUAAGAGUCUUUUGCUUGGUUUGCCUUUCUCUCUCAUUUUUUUCCCUUUGCUUGUUUCUUAAAUUACACAUGAGUGAAAUUGUAUGGUAUUUGUUUUAGUGAUUGACUUAUUUCGCUUAGUGUAAUACUCUCUAGCUCCAUCCACAUCAUUGCAAAUGGCAAGGUUUACCCUUCUUUAUGGUUGAAUAAUAUUCCAUUAUAGAAAUAUUCUAUUAUAUAUAAUAUAUAAGUUAUAAAAUAUUCUAUUAUGUAAAUAUUCUUUAUCCAUUUAUCAAUUGAUAGACAUUUAAGCUGCUUUAAUGUCUAAGUUAUUGCAAGUGAUGCCGCAGUAAACAUCAGGGUGCAUGCAUCUUUUUAAAUUGCUGCUUUUAUACUCUUUGGGUAAAUACUUAUAGUGCCAUUGCUAGACUGCAGUGUAGUUCUAGUGUUAAAUUUUUGAGGAAAUUUCAUAAUGUUUUCCACAGGGGCUGCACGAGUUUGCAUUCCCACCAACAUUGCAAGAGGGUUCCCCUUUUUUCCAAGUCCUUGCCAACCCCUGUUGUUUCUUGCGUUGUUGAUUUUAGCCAUUCUGACAAGUGUGAGGUGAUAUCUUAUUGUAGUUUUAUUUGCAUUUCCCUCUUGUUCAGUGAUGUUGAGCACCUUUUCAUGUGUCUGUUGGUCAUCUGUAUGUCUUUUUUGGAAAAAAAUCUGUCUUCUACCCAUUUUUAAUUAGAUUAUUUGCUUUGGCAUGUUGAGUUGUAUAAGUUCUUUAUAUAUUUUGGAUACUAACCCUUUAUCAGGCGUAUUAUUGCAAAUAUCUUCUUCUAUUCUGUAGGUUGCCUUUUACUUUUGUUGAUGAUUUUUUUUUUUUUUUUUGCUGUGCAGAAGCUUUUUAUUGUUGUGUAGUCUUAAUACUUUAUUUUUGCUUUUGUUUCCGUUGCCUCAGGAGACCUAUCUAGGAAAAGUUGCUAUAGCCAAUGUCAGAAAAAUUAUGGCCUGUGCUUUCUUCAAGGACUUGUAUUAAUUUCGUUCCCUUACAUAGGCCUUUAAUCAUUUUGAGUUUAUUUUUAUGUAUGGUGAAAUAGAGCCAUCCAUCUUAAUUCUUCUCCAUGUUGUUGUGCAGUUUUCCGAACACCGUUUGUUGAAGAGAGAGUCUUUUUCCCAUUGGAUAUCCUUUCCUGCUCUGGAAAGACUAAUUGACCAUAUAAUUGCGGGUUCAUUUUUCAGUUUUAUAUUCUGUUCCAUGGAUCUAUGUGUCUACUUUUGUGCCAGUACUAUACUGUUUUGACUGCUACAGUUUUGUAAUAUAACUUGAAAUCGGUGAUUUUGAUGCCUCCGGCUUUGCUUUUCCUUUUCAUGAUUGCUUUGGCUAUUUGAGGUCUUGUGUGGUUCUAUACAAAUUUUAGGAUUGUUUGUUCUAUGAAAACUGCUGUUGGUAUUUUGAUAGGGAUUGCAUUAAAUGUGUAUAUUGCUUUGGGUGGUAUUGGCAUUUUAAUAAUAUUUGUUCUUCCAAUCCAUGAGCAUGGAAUGUCUUUCCACUUUUUUGUGUCAUCUUCAAUUUCUUUUAUUAGUGUUUUAUAGUUUUCAGAGUACAGGUCUUUUACCUCUUUGGUUAAGUUUAUUCCAAUGUAUCUUAUUGUUUUGGUGCAAUUACAAAUGGGAUUGAUUCUUUAGUCUCUCUCUUUCUGCUGUUUCGUUAUUGGUGUGUAGAAAUGCAACAGAUUUGUAUACGCUGACUUUGUAUACUACGGCUUCACUGAGUUCCUUGAUCAGUUCUAGCAGUGUUUUGGUGGAGUCUUUCAGGUUUUCUACAUAGUGUAUCAUGUCAUUUGCAAAUAGCGAAAGUUAGGGGCACUUUGGUGACUCGGUUAAGUAUCUGACUCUUGGUUUUGGCUUAGGUCAUGAUCUCACAGUUCGUGCAUUGGAGCCCUGUGUUGGGCUCUGCACUGACAGCCCAGAGCCUUCUUAGGAUUUCUCUCUCCCUCACUCUCUGUCCCUCCCCACCUUGCUCUCUCUCUCUCUCUCUCUCUCAAAAAAAAAUAAGUAAAUAAACGUAAAAAUUAAAUUUAAUUCCUCAACCAACUAGCCAACUUCUAUGUUCUUGCUAUCUAUAUGUGACUAGUGGGUAAAGUACUAAAAAAUGCAAAACAUUUCUGUCAUUGGAGAAAUUUCUUUUGGGCAGUGCUGACAUAUAGCACACAAUCAGUAUUGCUCUUAAAUGCUGAUACUUCCCAAAACUUUUAGAAACCUUCAGAUGUUUUAAAAGUAUGCAACAUUAGAGUUUUAAGAAUUGUUAUAACAGAACUUUGUAUAGAAAGGAAGCUCAGCAUGUGGUGAAGUAACCAUAUAUUUGUGGUUACCUUCUCUUUUCAUUGCUGAAAGCCAUGUUUUAAUAACACAGACCUGCUAUCUAGUCAUAUAUAUGCCUAUUGAUGUGCAUACUGCUUUGAUUGGCAAAAUGAGACCUGAUGCCCAAGGAGUAUGUUAGUUGAUAUUAAUCAUUUAUAACCAUUUAUUGUUUAAGAGAUACUUGGCUGUAUAAAAUUUAAUGUGUUUUAAACAUAAAUUUAAUGUUAGGGUAACAGGUUACUGACAUACAUAACAAGUUUCAUAUUCAUUCUGCUAAAUGGAUUAAAAUGAAUAUUUAACCCAUCAGAAUAAUCUGUAAACAAAGUGUGUUUAAGAUACCAAGAUAAUUGCGAUUGUAAGUAGAGAAAAGAGAUAAACUAUUAAACCUUAAGCGAAUCUUGAAAAACCAUUUAUAUACUUUGAGGCAGGUAUUCACUAAGCAAGUAUUUUUAUUUCAUGAUGUACUUAAAGCUAAUACCAUGUCUAAGUGUGGGCGUGCGUCUAUAAAAAUAAAAACAGGGGAUGCCUGGGUGGCUCAGUCAGUAAGCAACCAACCUUGAUUUGAGCUCAGGUCACGAUCUCAUGGGUUCGUGGGUUCAGGCCUACAUUGGGCUCUGCACUGACUGCAGAGCCUGCCUGGGAUUCUGUCUCCCUCUCUCUCUGCCUCUCCCCCACUCAAUCUCUAUCUCUCUCUCAAAAUAAACAAAUAUUUAUUUACUUUUUAAUUUAAAAAAAAAAUUUUUAACGUUUGUUUAUUUUUGAGACAGAGAGAGACAGAGCAUGAACGGGGGAGGGUCAGAGAGAGGGAGACACAGAAUCUGAAACAGGCUCCAGGCUCUGAGCUGUCAGCACAGAGCCUGACGCGGGGCUCGAACUCACGGACCGCGAGAUCAUGACACGAGCCGAAUUUGACCGCUUAACCUACUGAGCCACCCAGGCGCCCCUAAUUUUAAUUUUUUUUAAUGUUUAUUUUUGAGAGAGAGAGAGAGAGAGAGAAUGUGAACAGAAGAGGGGCAGAAAGAGAGGAGACACAGAAUCCCAAGCAGGCUCCAGGCUCUUGAGCUGUCAGCACAUAGCCUGAUAUGGGGCUCGAACCCAUAAACACAAGAUCAUGACCUGAGUGGAAGUUGGACGCUUAACCGACUGAGCCACCCAGGUGCCCCAAAAUGAAUAUUUAAAAAACAAAGAAACAAAAAGCAGGGAAAGGAGGUAAAUUUUGAUAAAAAUGACUCAAAUUUUGGAUCAUAGCAAAUGUCUGAACAUCCCCAAGGGGUUCUUAUUUACCAAGAAAAUAAGAUUUGAAAAUAUGUUAGUAAAUUGUUCGCAUUCAGACCAUUAGGUGUUUGAAACACUCAUUCUUCUUUGUAAGGUGUUGUUAUAGAUCAAGUUAAAGCAAUAUUUGUCCUAAGUUAUUUAUAUGAAUAUCAUUUGAAGGAUCCCUAGUAGAAAAGUGAUGACAGAGUUGAGUGUCCUUUUGUUAUGAAACAAAGAAGGUAAAACAAAAUAGAGUACUUUGAAGCAUUGAAACUUAAUUUUAAGAAUAUAGUCCUUCUUGCUCUGGUAGUUUUUAAAUCUGAAGUAGCUGUUAAUAAGGUCAUCCUAAACCUGAUACAAACUUUAAUGUUGAAUGUAGCACUUAUAAUUUGCUUGUACUCUUAUUACACAUUAAAAAAACCAAAAGGGUACACUUGUAUAUAUUUUAAACAUCCAGGUUGACUAUCUAGAAUUUUUAAGUGACUUUUAUUUUGUUUUUAUUCAAAGAGAAUGUAUUCUAUGGUAACAUUUAAAGAAAAUCAUGAUGGGUAUUUAUUGAGCCAUUGUAUAAUUUUUAUUCUAUUUUUAAAGCAUUCAUAAUAAUCUAGUCUCCUGUACCUAUUCCCUGUCUCUGAAUUAGGAGCAAUAGUGAACCUAUUUUUUUCCUUACUCUGUUUUUCUUCUUUUUUUUUUACAUGAAGCUUAAUGAACACCUACUCUGUGCCAUAAAUGUGGUAGAUGUAGGGUCAUUGGAAGUAAAUCAAAUGGAGAUAUUCUUUACCUUGUUAGAAUUUAUAGCAUGUAAGCUACAAAUUAAAACUGUAUGAUGUGGUACAGAUGUAAUUCUCACUUCAUAUUAUAAUAUAGAGGCAAAUUAAGAUCAUAACUAAUAUAAGUUACAACUGCCAGAGUAAUCCACUAAUACUCUCUAACUUGGAUUCUCCACUAUAUCAUUUAGUUUGCUAUUAUCUGCGACUAAGAAAACAACAGCAAGCCAACUUGCUUUAAAAAAUACAGGGUAAAAUUACCUGCGUAAUAAAAAGUUCAAAGGAUGGGUGUGGUUCCAUCAAGACUGUUACCUCUGCUUCACCCCUGCUGGCGUCCUUCAUGCUCCUGGCCUCAGAGCUGCACGUCACACAACCAGAGAAGAGAGAAACUGUCUCAGAAACCCUGAUCAGUCUUUAUAAUUCUCAGCAAUCUAAAUUGGAUCAAAUAUGCACCAGUUAUGGUGUCAAUCCCAACAAAAUUCAGGGCACAACAGCAAAGCAGGGAGUUUGACAAGGGUACUCUGUUAACUAGAAGUUAACAAGGGUACUCUGGCAGAACAAAGAGGCAAUGGAAGGUGGGGGAGAAAAUGAGACCCAUUCUUUUAGGCAUAUCUUGUGCUACGCUGAACGUCAAAUAAUACAGGCUAUACUAUCUCUAAAGGUGGAGAAAUAAAGGGCAGUACUUUUAUAAAAGUCUUGGUUUUAUGGUCCUUCUUUUAUAGGGAAAAAAAAGUGUUUAUAAAAUGUUCUAUUACCUUCUAUCCAGAAAAUCGUUCACCCUUUUUUCAACUUACUUAUUUUUCCUCCUUACUUCCCAGGUGAGCAUUGAAUGUAGAGAAAUUCUGGUAUGGAGCUGUUAAAAUAUUAACCCAAAUCCAAAACCAGCUGAUCCUAGUGCCUUUAAUGAUUGCAUAUGUUGUGAUAUAUGGUUCAACAUGCCACUCCCAUAUCUCUAUGCAGACCCAAAAUGAAGAUAUACAGACAGUGCCUCACGUAUGGAAUAACAGAGGCCCAUGUGACCAGAACAGAGUGAAAGAUAGAGAAGAGGUUAUUAAAUAACUGGGAGCAAGAGGGUUGUUUCCAGAUGGAUUUCCUUCUUGCAAGCUAUGCUAUGAGCUCUACUCCUAGAAGGUAAAGGGCUAGGGAUAUUGAUCCAUCACCAAAAGCCUAGGAGGAAAGAAUGGUUUCUACAGGAUUAACCAAGAAAACAUUUGUCUCCUGAACCUGAAUCCCAUUCAGAAAAUCUCACAAGUCAGAGAUGGCUGAUUUGAUGGCAGGAGAGAGACUGAAAAGACUUAGGCCCAGGAUAAAUAAGUGAGGAUCCACACAAACCUGGGACCCUUAAAAGACUACAUACAGCCAGUGAAAAGGAAGUCUGAAAAUAAAUCUACUUAUUGCGCUAAGGAGAUAAUGAGGAAAUAAGUCUGUGGUGAUCUUCAACAUGGAAUAAACUGCUACUUCCCAUUUUUAUAGAAGCAGAUCCAUUCCAGCUGUGGAUGUGAGCAGAGCUGCCUCCAACUCAUUGAUAGUGGAAAUAUUUCAUACUCAUCAGUGUGACGUGAUUCCAACGACCAAAGCUUGUAAGCAAAUGUCUUUAAAAAAAUUUACAAGCCCAGUAUUUUGGAACUGAAAAAUAACUAAAUUGUAAUAUAUCGUAGGUGUUUAGUAAGCCUGAGGAAAUAGAGUAAUAUUAGAGUAAUAUUCUAUUAUGUAUUAAUUUCAUAUUACAUAUUACAAUGUACACAUUACACAUCAAUAUCAACGUUCAGUCUAUUAAUUUGAGGGUUUGAAUUCUAUGAAUCUUUUUAUGCGUCUCAAACUGACACAUUAAAUUAUUGAUUUAUGACAAAUUCUAAAAAUAUAACAUUGAAAAUAUUUUUAUUCCUUUACUUAAACAACUAAGGAGAUAUAUACCUCAUUGUAAAGAGACAACCAGAGUCUUGUUAAUGAGUUAACAAGUGAACUCAUUUGACAUUCUCAAUAAAUUUCAUUGACCUUAUCACAUUCAAGCAUAUAUCUGUGCAAUGUCUAAGGUAUGGUUUUGGCUCAAUGUUUACUUACCAAUAUCUGGUUUGCUUAAUAAAUCUCCGACAAUUAGUCAUAUUCUUAUUUUUCUACUUCUAUCGACAAUUUUAUUGUUAUUCCCAUUAUUUUGGGAAUAGAGCACAGUGAUUAUUAAACAAUCCCAGAAUUGUAAGAAAGUAAAUUCUUGCCACAGAAAAGUAAUACAUAAGAACUACAUGUGGUGAAAUGUAAAUGGAAUCGCACAGUAGCUUGGAUAAUAAAUGUAAUGUAUCCCUGUGCACAGACCAAGAUUCUGAAGUCACUUCCAUUAACUUUUCCUAUGUGUUGAGAAGCUAGACGAAAGCUGAGAUUUUAACCAAAGUUAUUUUUCAUACAAUAGCACGAACACAUUCUGCAUUCUUAUGGUUAAACCCUUGGUAAUUUGCAUUUCAUGUUUCUAAAUUUUUACUUUUACUGUAGUAAGGGUAGAAUUGAUUUUGAAAAGGACAAAGGGAUAAAAGAAGAACAUACUGUCACUGUAAUAACAUAUAAUACUAUUUAAAAGUCUAAUAGAUUUGGAAUUUGUACAUUAACAUGACAUUUUUAUUUGUUCAUGUGGCAGUUACUUUUGAGUCGACAUAUUCGUUUAAAACUUAAUUUAGGUAAGAAUAUUCAUGUGGCAUGUCUUGUAAUGCCAUUAGCACCAGUUGAGGAAAUGCUCCUGAACUUCUGUCAGGAUCUGAGUCAUGCAGGAAGAGUUGUGUAUAUGAAUAAGGGAAACAUUUGAUGAGGGUGUCUAGGAGUAGGAAAAAUCCAAUGGUUUUGAUUUAUAUUUAAUAAAGUGUAUUUUUAUAGUUACAUCAUAAAAGAUAAAAACAAUAAGUUUCCGGGGUGCCUGCGUGGCUCAGUUGGUUGUGUGUCCAACUUCGGCUCAGGUCAUGAUCUCAUAGUUUGUGGGUUCAAGCCCUGCGUUGGGCUCUGUGCUGACAGCUCAGAGCCUGGAGCCUGCUUCGGAUCUGUCUCCUUCUCUCUCUGCCCUCCCUACUUGUGUUCUGUCUCUCUGUCUCUCAAAAAUAAAUAAAUGUAAAAAAAAUUUUUUAAAUAAUAAGUUUCCAUGGUUGAAUAAUUUUUGAAAACCAUUACAUAUUAUUUUCCUUGAAAAUUUAGCAUUCAUUUCUGUAUUAGAGGCUCUGAAAAAUCCUAAUUCAGGGUUCCUACAUUUUUUUUUGCUUUGUUUUGUUUUACUUUACCCUUCAUUCUCUGUCUUUUUUUUUUUUUAAUGACAAAAUGCUUUCUUAAACUAACAGCUGUUGCCAUUCUAUGGAAAAAAAAGUGCUCCAGAAAACAUUUUGGGAAAGAUGGAAAUAGGUCUUAAAAAAAAAAAAAGAUGAAAACACACAUGGAGAUAUGAAAACCUCAUAGGGUACCAGCCAGUCUCUCGCCAGAUUCAUUGGCACAGUAGGUGCCAAUUCUAGGUUCCCUCAGGUGUUCUCUGGUUAAAAAGUGACCCUGCAAAAGAAGACUUUCAGAAGAAGCUGAGUGCAUAACAGUGGUUCUCAAGCUUCUUAAGAUGGGUACUUUACGACUGGCAGGCACCUUUCAAGGAGUACCUAGCUGUCCUCUACAAUUCUCUUUGGGAAUUUCUAUCUGCCAAGAGUUACAUGUUUCCCAAAUGCCAUAUCCCUUGUUAAGCCAUAACUUAUAAUCACAGCAUUUAACAAGAAAAAUACUAUAAAACACAAUUCUUUCCAAACCAGGGGUAUUCGGCUCUUUGGCAAUUACAUUGAAAAAAUAUGGAGACCGAUACAUGUGUCUAAUCCUGUGUUAAGGAUGGAGAUUAAAAAAAUGAUAAAGUAAAAGUCUCAAAGGAGUAACAGGUUAGUGUAAGGUAUAGUCAUAUAUGCAAAUAACCACAACAAAGUAUGAUAAAUGCUGUCGUAGUGGAAAGAGUAAAGAGUCAUAGGAUGCCAGGGGUGAGAGGGAGAAUACAUUCCGCUUGCAGAAGAUAUGUAGAAGGUGGCCACAAUUUCAAAGAAUGGGUGACAUUUAAUCAGAAAUAAUUUAAUAAUGAAAAAUAAUAUAAUGGAAAUAAUUCACCCCAUGGGGAAAAAUGCACAAGAAAGCUGUUGCCUGGUCUAGAACCAAAUCUUAAGCUGGGUCACAAACCACCAGAAACAACCAUAUCAGGUCACUUUGCUACAUAUCUCUAGCUACGACCCUGACUAGUAAUAGCUACUGGUAUGACCAUUUAACAAACAUUUUUGAGAGUUUCCUAUGUGCAAUGCAUACUUAGUAAGUAGCAGGGAUACACCCGUGAGCAAGACACAAACCUCAGGUUUAAGAUUCCAACAGUAAUCAGGAACACGACAGGGAUGUCCACUCUCACCGCUGUUGUUUAACAUAGUGUUUCUGGUUCUAGCAUCAACAAUCAGACAACAAAAGGAAAUCAAAGGCAUCAAAAUUGGCAAAGACGAAGGUAAGCUUUCACUUUUUGCAGAUGACAUGAUAUUAUACAUGGAAAAUCCGAUAGACUCCACCAAAAGUCUGCUAGAACUGAUACAUGAAUUCAGCAAAGUCGCAGGAUACAAAAUCAAUGUACAGAAAUCAGCUGCAUUCUUAUACACUAAUAAUGAAGCAACAGAAAGACAAAUAAAGAAACUGAUCCCGUUCACAAUUGCACCAAGAAGCAUAAAAUACCUAGGAAUAAACCUAACCAAAUAUGUAAAAGAUCUGUAUGCUGAAAACUAUAGAAAGCUUAUAAAGGAAAUUGAAGAAGAUAUAAAGAAAUGGAAAAACAUUCCAUGUUCAUGGAUUGGAAGAAUAAAUAUUGUCAAAAUGUCAAUACUACCCAAAGCUAUCUACACAUUCAAUGCAAUCCCAAUCAAAAUUGCACCAGCAUUCUUCUCAAAACUAGAACAAGCAAUCCUAAAAUUCAUAUGGAACCACAAAAGGCCCUGAAUAGCCAAAGUAAUUUUGAAGAAGACCAAAGCAGGAGGCAUCACAAUCCCAGACUUUAGCCUCUACUACAAAGCGUUAAUCAUCAAGACAGCAUGGUAUUGGCACAAAAACAAACACAUAGACCAAUGGAAUAGAAUAGAAACCCCAGAACUAAACCCACAAACGUAUGGCCAACUAAUCUUUGACAAAGCAGGAAAGA